Molecule: unclassified non-coding RNA, 433 nt
Filed under: soil metagenome
Description: partial contains 5.8S ribosomal RNA, internal transcribed spacer 2, and large subunit ribosomal RNA
Rfam family: 5.8S ribosomal RNA (bases 1-120)
Source: RNAcentral
GAUGAAGAACGCAGCGAAAUGCGAUACGUAAUGUGAAUUGCAGAAUUCAGUGGAUCAUCGAAUCUUUGAACGCAUAUUGCGCUCUCUGGUAUUCCGGAGAGCAUGCUUGUUUGAGUAUCAGUAAACACCUCAACUUCCAUAUCUUUUUUGAAAUGGGAGUUGGACUUGAGUGAUCCCAACGCUUUUCCUCACCGAAAAGUGGCGGGUUACUUGAAAUGCAGGUGCAGCUGGACUUUUCUCUGAGCUAUAAGCAUAUCUAUUUAGUCUGCCUAAAAAACAGAUUAUUACCUUUGCUGCAGCUAACAUAAAGGAGAUUAGUUCUUGUGCUGACUGAUGCAGGAUUCACAAAGACAGGCUUCGGCCGACUUUGUAAACUCGAUCUCAAAUCAAGUAAGACUACCCGCUGAACUUAAGCAUAUCAAUAAGCGGAGGA